This 206-nucleotide ribosomal RNA is filed under the name Escherichia coli. RNAcentral's name for it is "partial 16S ribosomal RNA". It matches the Rfam family "Bacterial small subunit ribosomal RNA", at positions 1 to 214 of the family's 1533-position model. The record is from RNAcentral. Lineage: Bacteria; Pseudomonadati; Pseudomonadota; Gammaproteobacteria; Enterobacterales; Enterobacteriaceae.
AAAUUGAAGAGUUUGAUCAUGGCUCAGAUUGAACGCUGGCGGCAGGCCUAACACAUGCAAGUCGAACGGUAACAGGAAGCAGCUUGCUGCUUCGCUGACAAGUGGCGGACGGGUGAGUAAUGUCUGGGAAACUGCCUGAUGGAGGGGGAUAACUACUGGAAACGGUAGCUAAUACCGCAUAAUGUCGCAAGACCAAAGAGGGGGAC